GGAGGAACAUUGCAGAAUGAUAAACAUAAACAGCAACUAGAGACAUGUCACAAUUAGCAUUGCCGAAUGCUAAGUCAUACAAGUGCAGCAAUCGCAGGUGCAUCUUUCAGCCCAGUAGGUUCCAUCAUACAGAGGAAAGCACAUUUGACCAAGAAACAUCUAGCGCUUUCGCAAUACAAGGUCCAGACUUCACCGCGUCUAGUUUCGCCUCAAACAGAUAUCCUCCAGAAGUGCUUGCUAGCUCAUGCAGCAUCUGGCGGUGAACCACCAGGAACUAACUGUCAGGGAGAAAACAAAAAUGUUAUCAGCCUGAUCGUUUAGCACAGUCAGAUACUGCUGUUGGUGUUUGAAUGUAAAUUCUUACGAUGGCUAUGUUGUUGCCAUUGAGGAGGAUCUGAUCAAGUUUCGUAAUGCGCCGGCCCUCGGCAGUAUACUCACUGCAAAACAUGCAAAGGAAAAUUGAACCAAGGAUAUUAGACUAGAAUUUCAGAAGCAAGUCCUCAAAAAAAGAUCAGACAAAAAGUAUGUAUGAAGCCAACAAAGGACUACUCGUAAACAUCAUUUUGAAGUAAUGAGCUUCCAGAUUGACUACCUAGAAUUUUUUUGCAACUACUCGGCGUCGCCUAAGCAAAGGAAAGAUCCAUCAAUAUCCAGCAUUUCGCUAAACAUACUCAAUUAUGCGUCAAGCAUUCAAUGUUUGCCUGGCCAUCAGGCGCACACGAAACUGGGUCUAUAUACGAUUUCCUUCUGAGCUUCAUAAAAUACUAACAGUCAUGCUAUUUUAUUUACUUCUGCAGCUGCAACACGAAUUUGCAAUACAUGACAUUAUGCACCACCAUCUCAGCAUCUUUGAUGAACUAAUGUGAAAUCAAUGGAAGUUAAAAAUUCACUGCAUCAUCCGUGGACUAGUAUGACAUGAACGGUAGAAUUAGCACAACAUCCGUGGAAAAGUACUUCCAGCAUCUCUGAAAAGGAAUAUCAGUUUCCAUUCUAAGUAGACAACUCCCUCCCAGCCUUCUAGUACACUUGUCUAUAUCCAUUUUCAUUCUAUCAGCAAUCAUGAUACACAAUGUUAAAUCAGAAAACAGAUAGCUGUGUUGUGAUCUUUGGAAGUCAAGCAAGUGUCAAUGUGAGAUACAUAUGCACCAGCUGCACGAAUGCUCGUUUUAUAUCUACUACAGCAACCUUGUGUUGUACGCAUCAAGUAUCACUGAUAGUGAGAGUUUCUAAUCUACUCCGUAUAAGACAAGACGAAACACACAAAGUCCAACGAGCCCAGGACCCAUCAGAUAGACUGAUAGAAGAUGCUCAGUUCGUUAAUUGGCGUGAACUCCUGCGGUCAUGCUAAUCUGGUGCGAAUUGUUAACAUAUUUUCGCUACGGUCAGAUAUGUGACGCUGUUACAACAUAUGUGUAAGUACAAAAUUCAAGUCAUAACUAGGUGAGCUCAUCAGCAUAAUUAAAAUAUGCUGAUAACUCACUCAAAAUAAGACAGACUUCACCCAAGAUUCCAGGUAAAACCUGAUGCGCAUCGAUCUAAAGAAACUAGGGUUUAGGGUUUGGGUGGGCUGCACUUACUAUUCAGUGACGUCCUCGAGGACCAUGUUGACGUAGACGUCGAACCCGCAGAGGGUGCCGACGAGCUCCUUGUCUCCCUUCAUGAUCACCCAAAUCUUAGAUCCGAUGCACCGGUCGAUCAGCUCUGCCCGUCGCACCAGUUCGCACAAGCACGCGCGCGCGCGUGGAGACACGCGCACAGAAAAGAGGCAAAAGCCGUGAGUCAGGAGCUCGAACCCAGCAGAUUAGGCGACGGAGCUAGCCAGCUAGGGGAAUCGAAAGAAGCUUUGCGAGAAAAAGCGAUGUUGUCCUGCGCACCUGAGGGGAGGAGCUGGGAGGGGUUGUUCUGAGACAUGGCGCCGCCUCCGGUUGCCGGUGGCUGGGGAGCUCGAGGCCGGUGGGUGACGACGAGAAGGGCACGGCUGGAGCGCAGGCGGACGGAGAAGAACGGCGGCGGAGGCGGAGGGGAUUGGGGCUUUUGCUUCUGCGCAGCGGUGGAUAGUUCCGUGCUAACGGGCGAACUGCUCUCGAGUCUCGACGCCGGUUUCGGCCCAUAUCUAGGCCCAAUAGAGAGUUUUCGGGUCAGCGUUCACCAUUCUAAGGUAGGCUUCCCUUAAAAAAAAACAUAUUCUAAGGUAGGCCAUGCGGCAGGGCCGUUCCUAUUUGGCCUGUAGGCCGCUGUCUAGGACCUUCACUGAACCGGAUUUUUUUCUGUUUUUUUCUUUGGCCACGCUACGCGUCGGCCGGCGGAUUUUUCUAAAAGAUUCGCCGCCUCGGCAACUGUUAUUUGUACAGGUAUCCAGCAUCUAACACUGUUCUCAUUAUUGCAACAAGGGCAUUGUUGCAGAAAUACUUUGCAACAAAGGUUAUGUUGCAGAAUUUUUUUCCGACAUAGUUGAUGUUGCAGAUUUUUUUUCAUCACUGUUUUUGCAACAUGGGUAUUGUUGCGGCGGAAACCAAAUCGCAACAUAGACAAUGUUGCAGAAAUAUUUGUUAUUUUUUCGUCUUCAUUUUUUCGCUUUUUUGUCUUCAUUUUUUCACAACAUAGGUGUUGUUGCGGAAGACAGUUUUGCAACACACAUGAUGUUGCGAAAAGACAGGUGCGAAGGAUACAUGUACACGUGUCACAUAGAGGAGGCAGCGGAUGGCUUGCGUGCGAUCCGUCGGGUGAAGGAAAGAGUUUCCCUUUUUUCUUUGUCUUUUCUUAUGAUUCUUGUUUCUUUUAUAUUUCUGGAUUUUUGCUUUUUCUUUUAUGUUUUAAUUUUUUUCAUUUUUGUUUCUCCUUUUCUUUUUUCUAAGUUUGUCUUUUAUUUAUUUUCAUUUUCCAUUUUCCAUUUUUGCAAACAUUUUUUCCAAAUUUAUAAACUUUUUUUAGGUCGUGAUCAUUUUUAUAAUUGUGAACACAUUUUAUGAAACCGUGAACAUAUUUCAAAUGUGCAAACAUUUUUGAAAUCACUAACAUUUUUUAUUUUUUGAACACUGCUUUUUGGAAAUUGUGAACUUUUUUUGAAACAUGUGAUUUUUUUUUGAAUCAGCGAGUAUUUUUUGAAUUGGUGAGCAGUUUUUCAAUCAGCAAACAAUUUUUGAAUAUAUGAACAUUUUUUGAAUCGGCGAACAUUUUGGAAAUGAUGAACAGUUUUUGAAUUAGUGAACAUUUUUGCAUUGAUGAACAGUUUUUAAAACUCAUGAACAUUUUUUUGAAAUGAUUAAACGUGAAUCAUUUAACAUUUUUUGAAUCGAUCAAGUUUUAUUGAAAUUCAUAACCAUCUUCUAUUUUUGUGAACAUUUUUCAAUACGUGAUUUUUCUUCAAAAAAUGAAAAAAAAAUCCACGAACUUUUUAUAUUUUUUUAAAUUUGGAUAUUGGUCGAAAUCCCGAAUUAUUUUAAAGAACAAAAACUGAAAUGGGAAUCAAAGAAAAAGAGAAAACGACCUAAAAAUACAAGGGCCCUCUCAUGGGCCAGCCCAAUAAGGAGCACCCGGCCGGCAGGUCCUUUCCCCCGGGUGAGUUGGCAGAUAGCGAGCAAUCGCAUGCCCUCUUUGGGCGGGCCCACUGCUUGGUGGGGCUCCCUGUUUUCUUUUUUGUUUAUCAUUUUAGUUUUUUCUUUUUUUACUCUUUAAAAAAUGUUUGGGAUAAAAAACUGAAUUUCAAAAAAGAUUCAUGAGUUUUAAAAAUGUUCACUGAUUUAAAAAAUGUUCACUAGUUUGCAAAAUGUUCCCCAGCGUACCGAGAAGAGUGCUAUAUUCUUUCAUGAGGUUCGAAGAACUUCAACGAGAAACAUCUGCGUUGCAGAGAAGAGAGAGAUAUGCUUCAAGAAGAAAACAUACGGAGAAGAUUAUGUGUGGAAGUUGACCCCUUUAAAAUAUUGCUGGCGCAAAGUAAUUUUCAUUCGAUGCGUCCGAAGAAGAAUGAUUGUAGUUGAGUAGAUUGAAGACGAAGCAAAGACGUAAUAUUAUUUUCGUAGUUCUUCUUUCUUUUAUUUGAGUCAUAGGACCACCACACUAUUAAGAGGGGUAUAGAUAUUGAAGACUUUUUAUGUGUUGUGAUGCUUAGCCGAAUCCUUUGAAAGACCGAGAGAGAGAGAGAGAGAGAUCUUUGGACCGACGAGUGGGCUUUACUUGUUCCAUCUAGAAAGGCAGCGGCUAUAAAUAGCUACCCCGCUCCAAUGUUUUUCGUUGGUUGUAGUGUUUGGUUUAUAGCCGGAGGCACGGUCCACGAUCACACAUUUGCUAAAAUCUUCAUCAGGAUCACCCCUCACUUUUAGACUAAACUCAAAAUAUAUAUGAUCAAAUACUAUUAAUUCUCUACGUCGACCUAUCAAUGUUAACAUAUUAUCCUGCACAGUAAUUUAGUAGAAAAUCACAAUAUGUCUAUGUAUUUAACAAACUAUGAACUUGGACAUAAAGCAAAACGAGCUUGACUACUCAAAUAAAUUCAAACAGUUUGACGGUUAUGUUGUUUAACUAGCUUGGGGAGAAUUGAUUGCUUCUGUAGUUUUGUUGUCGCACCGCUAUAGCCCCUAUAAAUUGUUGCCAAUUGUAUAGAUGUAUGUUCAGAUGGACAAGGUGCCACUAUAGUUUCUUUUAUUUCCGGUACACAAAAGAGCAUAUUUUACACUAGCCAGACCACAUUGUACAAAAUAAGCAACCAAGUUCGCAGAAG
RNAcentral lists this long non-coding RNA (4717 nucleotides) under Triticum aestivum (bread wheat). Its description in RNAcentral is "long non-coding RNA (TAES_LNC023623)". The record is from RNAcentral. Lineage: Eukaryota; Viridiplantae; Streptophyta; Magnoliopsida; Poales; Poaceae.